This 429-nucleotide ribosomal RNA is filed under the name Staphylococcus aureus. RNAcentral's name for it is "bacterial SSU rRNA". It matches the Rfam family "Bacterial small subunit ribosomal RNA", at positions 848 to 1277 of the family's 1533-position model. Lineage: Bacteria; Bacillati; Bacillota; Bacilli; Caryophanales; Staphylococcaceae. The record is from RNAcentral.
CAGCUAACGCAUGAGGCACUCCGCCUCGGGAGUACGACCGCAAGGUUGAAACUCAAAGUAAUUGACGGGGCCCGGCACAAGCGGUGGAGCAUGUGGUUUAAUUCGAAGCAACGCGAAGAACCUUACCAAAUCUUGACAUCCUUUGACAACUCUAGAGAUAGAGCCUUCCCCUUCGGGGGACAAAGUGACAGGUGGUGCAUGGUUGUCGUCAGCUCGUGUCGUGAGAUGUUGGGUUAAGUCCCGCAACGAGCGCAACCCUUAAGCUUAGUUGCCAUCAUUAAGUUGGGCACUCUAAGUUGACUGCCGGUGACAAACCGGAGGAAGGUGGGGAUGACGUCAAAUCAUCAUGCCCCUUAUGAUUUGGGCUACACACGUGCUACAAUGGACAAUACAAAGGGCAGCGAAACCGCGAGGUCAAGCAAAUCCCAU